This 440-nucleotide ribosomal RNA is filed under the name uncultured Phenylobacterium sp. RNAcentral describes it as "partial 16S ribosomal RNA". Lineage: Bacteria; Pseudomonadati; Pseudomonadota; Alphaproteobacteria; Caulobacterales; Caulobacteraceae. The record is from RNAcentral.
GACUACCAGGGUAUCUAAUCCUGUUUGCUCCCCACGCUUUCGCGCCUCAGCGUCAGUAACGGGCCAGUGUGUCGCCUUCGCCACUGGUGUUCUUCCGAAUAUCUACGAAUUUCACCUCUACACUCGGAGUUCCACACACCUCUCCCGUACUCAAGAUAGCCAGUAUUGAAGGCAAUUCCGAGGUUGAGCCCCGGGCUUUCACCCCCAACUUAACUAUCCGCCUACGCGCCCUUUACGCCCAGUAAUUCCGAGCAACGCUAGCCCCCUUCGUAUUACCGCGGCUGCUGGCACGAAGUUAGCCGGGGCUUCUUCUGCGGGUACCGUCAUUAUCGUCCCCGCUGAAAGGAUUUUACAAUCCUAAGGCCUUCAUCAUCCACGCGGCAUGGCUGCGUCAGGCUUUCGCCCAUUGCGCAAGAUUCCCCACUGCAGCCUCCCGUAGG